Molecule: ribosomal RNA, 446 nt
Filed under: uncultured bacterium
Lineage: Bacteria
Description: partial 16S ribosomal RNA
Rfam family: Bacterial small subunit ribosomal RNA
Source: RNAcentral
CCUACGGGUGGCUGCAGUCGAGAAUCAUUCACAAUGGGGGAAACCCUGAUGGUGCGACGCCGCGUGGGUGAAUGAAGGUCUUCGGAUUGUAAACCCCUGUCAUGUGGGAGCAAAUUAAUAAGAUAGUACCACAAGAGGAUGAGACGGCUAACUCGGUGCCAGCAGCCGCGGUAAUACAGAGGUCUCACGCGUUGUUCGGAAUCACUGGGCGUAAAGCGUGCGUCGGCUGUUUCGUAAGUCGUGUGUGAAUGGCGCGGGCUCAACCCGCGGACGGCACAUAAUACUGCGAGACUAGAGUAAGGUAGGGGGAACCGGAAUUCGCGGUGUAGCAGUGAAAUGCGUAGAUAUCGGGAGGAACACUCGUGGCGAAGGCGGGUUCCUGGACAUAAACUGACGCUGAGGCACGAAGGCCAGGGGAGCGAAAGGGAUUAGAUACCCCAGUAGUC